AGCGAACGCUGGCGGCAUGCUUAGCACAUGCAAGUCGCACGGGCAGCAAUGUCAGUGGCGGACGGGUGAGUAACGCGUAGGAACGUGUCCUGAGGUGGGGGACAACCCCGGGAAACUGGGGCUAAUACCGCAUAUGGGCUGAGGCCCAAAGCCGAGAGGCGCCUUUGGAGCGGCCUGCGUCCGAUUAGGUAGUUGGUGGGGUAAAGGCCUACCAAGCCUGCGAUCGGUAGCUGGUCUGAGAGGACGACCAGCCACACUGGGACUGAGACACGGCCCAGACUCCUACGGGAGGCAGCAGUGGGGAAUAUUGGACAAUGGGCGAAAGCCUGAUCCAGCAAUGCCGCGUGGGUGAAGAAGGUCUUCGGAUCGUAAAGCCCUUUCGACGGGGACGAUGAUGACGGUACCCGUAGAAGAAGCCCCGGCUAACUUCGUG
RNAcentral lists this ribosomal RNA (433 nucleotides) under uncultured bacterium. RNAcentral describes it as "partial 16S ribosomal RNA". It matches the Rfam family "Bacterial small subunit ribosomal RNA", at positions 30 to 507 of the family's 1533-position model. The record is from RNAcentral.